Molecule: ribosomal RNA, 253 nt
Filed under: uncultured bacterium
Lineage: Bacteria
Description: partial 16S ribosomal RNA
Rfam family: Bacterial small subunit ribosomal RNA
Source: RNAcentral
UACGUAGGUGGCAAGCGUUGUCCGGAAUUAUUGGGCGUAAAGCGCGCGCAGGCGGUCCUUUAAGUCUGAUGUGAAAGCCCACGGCUCAACCGUGGAGGGUCAUUGGAAACUGGGGGACUUGAGUGCAGAAGAGGAAAGCGGAAUUCCACGUGUAGCGGUGAAAUGCGUAGAUAUCAGGAGGAAUACCAGUGGCGAAGGCGGCUCACUGGUCCGGUACUGACGCUGAGGUGCGAAAGCGUGGGGAGCAAACAGG